UUGAGCUGCACCGGGGGAUGGCUGCAUAAGCAAAUAGUCAAGGCCAGCCCAGGGCAGCGAAGCACUGAGUCAUCAGGGAAAGGACUCUAAUAGCAGCUUCAACCGACCAGCUCCUACGUUUCAAAGGCAGCAGCUAGAAAGAACACAAGACCGCAGUUUUCAAAGUCAAAAUUAAAUUAGCUGAAAGUAUGCAUGAGUUCAGUUCCUAGC
Molecule: long non-coding RNA, 210 nt
Filed under: Chinchilla lanigera (long-tailed chinchilla)
Lineage: Eukaryota; Metazoa; Chordata; Mammalia; Rodentia; Chinchillidae
Description: lncRNA (ENSCLAG00000022555.1)
Source: RNAcentral